This 253-nucleotide ribosomal RNA is filed under the name uncultured bacterium. RNAcentral describes it as "partial 16S ribosomal RNA". It matches the Rfam family "Bacterial small subunit ribosomal RNA", at positions 524 to 776 of the family's 1533-position model. The record is from RNAcentral.
UACGGAGGGGGCUAGCGUUGUUCGGAAUUAUUGGGCGUAAAGGGCGUGUAGGCGGCCGAUCAAGUCGGGUGUGAAAUCCCUCGGCUCAACCGAGGAACUGCACUCGAUACUGUUUGGCUAGAGUCCGGGAGGGGGUAGUGGAAUUCCCAGUGUAGCGGUGAAAUGCGUAGAUAUUGGGAAGAACACCAGUAGCGAAGGCGGCUACCUGGACCGGAACUGACGCUGAGGCGCGAAAGCCAGGGGAGCGAAUGGG